Non-coding RNA from Nicotiana tabacum (common tobacco), 1050 nucleotides. The record is from RefSeq and is a predicted model, not a curated record. Lineage: Eukaryota; Viridiplantae; Streptophyta; Magnoliopsida; Solanales; Solanaceae.
UCUCUAUGCAAAAGUUAAAAGUGCUAAUAGUAGUGGCUCUUGGCUAAUGGAGUCAUACCUAAUACUAUGAUUUUUUCAGUAAAAGUUAAGAAUCUGCAGGUAUAUUCUGCUUUGUGUUUUUACUGCUGUAAUAAUGUGAUCCAAUAUAUCUCCUGUUGCUUUUUUGUAUUCAGCUAAGUUAAGGCAUUUGUCUUUAUUAAGAGAAAAAGGAAAGCAAAAAAGGAUGAGUGCGAGAGAGGAGAAAGAAGAAAGGAGAUGGGGAAUGUGAUUUCCAACCAGAUAAAGAAAGAGGAGUUUAUGCGCGGGGAUCAUAUUUACACAUGGCUACACGGCUAUGCAUAAGCACAUCUUGCUGGUCGGGAGAUAGGAACAAGAAUAAUCCUCGAUCGUUACAUCUUUAGCUCAUCUCCCUCUCGUCGCCCUGUAUCCCAAUGUCCAACAUGUGGUGAUCGACCAAGGAGUGAUGGGGUCAUAUCUUCAUGCAUUGAAUGCUUCCUCUCUGGUGGUAAACUAUAUCGUUUUCAAUAUGGUGUAUCGCCAGGUUUCUUUCUUGCCUAAGUGAAAGGACGUGCACCUUUGUUCGUUCUAAUUCUCGGGAGGAUGACAGAUGUCAUCCUCCGCGCUGAAAUUCUUCUUGGUAACGGUUUUGGAAAUUACAACCUUUUCAAGAACAAAUGUGAGGAUUUUGCAAUCUACUGCAAGACGGGUUAUCUGCUCCUAAUAAAUGUGGUGAUAGGGCGUAGUGGUCAGGCAGCGUCAUUGGCUCCAGCAGCUAGCUCGUUGGCUUCAUCACCAGUUCGCCUUAUGCCUACGAGUGGUCUUGCAGUUGUUGGUUGGGGAUUUUACUGUGCUAACCAUUUUUUUUCUGAUAUUGGAGUCCGCAGGGAUGUGAUGAAAAUACCUGCAAAGAGGCUUGUUUCCCGUGAUCGCCUUAUAAGUAUUUGAACCUGCAUUACUCAAAAUGGCUUCUUGGGACCAAAUCUUGAACUUAUUUAUACCUCACUAUUCUUAUCAUUCGUGAAAUACAAUUUAUUGUCAAAUGCCUUAUUA